Molecule: ribosomal RNA, 433 nt
Filed under: uncultured bacterium
Lineage: Bacteria
Description: partial 16S ribosomal RNA
Rfam family: Bacterial small subunit ribosomal RNA
Source: RNAcentral
AACGAACGCUGGCGGCAUGCCUAACACAUGCCAGUCGAACGAGACCUUCGGGUCUAGUGGCGCACGGGUGCGUAACGCGUGGGAACCUGCCCUUAGGUUCGGAAUAGCUCCCCGAAAGGGGUGCUAAUACCGGAUAAUGUCUUCGGACCAAAGAUUUAUCGCCUUUGGAUGGGCCCGCGUUGGAUUAGCUAGUUGGUAGGGUAAAAGCCUACCAAGGCGACGAUCCAUAGCUGGUCUGAGAGGAUGAUCAGCCACACUGGGACUGAGACACGGCCCAGACUCCUACGGGAGGCAGCAGUGGGGAAUAUUGGACAAUGGGCGAAAGCCUGAUCCAGCAAUGCCGCGUGAGUGAUGAAGGCCUUAGGGUUGUAAAGCUCUUUUACCCGGGAUGAUAAUGACAGUACCGGGAGAAUAAGCUCCGGCUAACUCCGUG